CCUACGUGGUGCAGCAGUGAGGAAUAUUGGUCAAUGGGCGAGAGCCUGAACCAGCCAAGUCGCGUGAGGGAAGACGGUCCUAUGGAUUGUACACCUCUUUUGCCGGGGAGCAAAAAGCGGUACGCGUACCGCACCGAGAGUACCCGGCGAAAAAGCAUCGGCUAACUCCGUGCCAGCAGCCGCGGUAAGACGGAGGAUGCGAGCGUUAUCCGGAUUUAUUGGGUUUAAAGGGUGCGCAGGCGGCGGGUUAAGUCAGCGGUAAAAUUUCGGGGCUCAACCCCGACGAGCCGUUGAAACUGGCUGGCUAGAGUGGGCGAGAAGUAUGCGGAAUGCGUGGUGUAGCGGUGAAAUGCUUAGAUAUCGCGCAGAACUCCGAUUGCGAAGGCAGCAUACCGGCGCCCAACUGACGCUCAGGCACGAAAGCGUGGGUAUCGAACAGGAUUAGAUACCCUUGUAGUC
This 459-nucleotide ribosomal RNA is filed under the name uncultured bacterium. RNAcentral's name for it is "partial 16S ribosomal RNA". It matches the Rfam family "Bacterial small subunit ribosomal RNA", at positions 338 to 795 of the family's 1533-position model. The record is from RNAcentral.